AGCGAACGUUAGCGGCGGGCCUAACACAUGCAAGUCGAACGCGAAAGGUCUUCGGACUGAGUAGAGUGGCGCACGGGUGAGUAACACGUAGGUAAUCUACCCUUUGGCGGGGGAUAACGUUCCGAAAGGAGCGCUAAUACCGCAUAGGACCACGGAGUCUCCGGACGCUGUGGGAAAAGGUGGCCUCUUCUUGAAAGCUACCACCGAAGGAUGAGCCUGCGUCCCAUCAGCUAGUUGGUAAGGUAAUGGCUUACCAAGGCGAAGACGGGUAGCUGGUUUGAGAGAAUGAUCAGCCACACUGGCACUGGAACACGGGCCAGACUCCUACGGGAGGCAGCAGUGAGGAAUAUUGGGCAAUGGGCGAAAGCCUGACCCAGCCACGCCGCGUGAGUGAUGAAGGCCCUCGGGUCGUAAAGCUCUGUGGAGAGGGACGAAAACCCUGGUUUCAAAUAGGCUCCAGGCUUGACGGUACCUCUUUAGCAAGCACCGGCUAACUCUGUGCCAGCAG
Molecule: ribosomal RNA, 508 nt
Filed under: uncultured bacterium
Lineage: Bacteria
Description: bacterial SSU rRNA
Rfam family: Bacterial small subunit ribosomal RNA
Source: RNAcentral